Molecule: ribosomal RNA, 406 nt
Filed under: uncultured bacterium
Lineage: Bacteria
Description: partial 16S ribosomal RNA
Rfam family: Bacterial small subunit ribosomal RNA
Source: RNAcentral
AUUGAACGCUGGCGGCAGGCCUAACACAUGCAAGUCGAACGAGAGGCGGACGGGUGGGUAAUGUCUGGGAAACUGCCUGACGGAGGGGGAUAACUAGUGGAAAUGGUAGCAAAUACCGCAAAACAUACGAUGUGCCCAGAUGGGAGUAGCUAGUGGGUGGGGUAAAGGCUCACCUAGGCGAUGAUCUCUAGCUGGGCUGAGAGGAUGACCAGCCACACUGGAACUGAGACACGGUCCAGACUCCUACGGGAGGCAGCAGUGGGGAAUAUUGCACAAUGGGCGCAAGCCGGAUGCAGCCAUGCCGCGUGUAUGAAGAAGGCCUUCGGGUUGUAAAGUACUUUCAGCGGGGAGGCGUUACCCGCAGAAGAAGCACCGGCUAACUCCGUGCCAGCAGCCGCGGUAAUUC